RNAcentral lists this ribosomal RNA (253 nucleotides) under uncultured bacterium. Its description in RNAcentral is "partial 16S ribosomal RNA". It matches the Rfam family "Bacterial small subunit ribosomal RNA", at positions 524 to 776 of the family's 1533-position model. The record is from RNAcentral.
UACGUAGGGUGCAAGCGUUGUCCGGAAUUAUUGGGCGUAAAGAGCUCGUAGGCGGUCUGUCACGUCGGCUGUGAAAACCCGAGGCUCAACCUCGGGCCUGCAGUCGAUACGGGCAAACUAGAGUACUGCAGGGGAGACUGGAAUUCCUGGUGUAGCGGUGAAAUGCGCAGAUAUCAGGAGGAACACCAACGGCGAAGGCAGCACUCUGGGCCGGUACUGACGCUGAGGAGCGAAAGCGUGGGGAGCAAACAGG